AUUUGUAUAGUUUAAAUAAAACAUUAUAUUUUCAUUAUAAAAUUAGGGUUUACUCUUAUAAAUA
This 64-nucleotide transfer RNA is filed under the name Paromalus flavicornis. RNAcentral describes it as "tRNA-Glu". The record is from RNAcentral. Lineage: Eukaryota; Metazoa; Arthropoda; Insecta; Coleoptera; Histeridae.